GCUACAGUAAUUGAUGUUGAAAAACUGAUGCUACCAAUCACUCCUCACUUGAUUAUUCAAGCAGUUCCUAAGAUAAAAACAAAUCUGGUGUUAAAACACCAGUCUUUGUUUAUUAGCAAUUUUACUGGGCGUAUGGAACUGGAAACUCCCAAAUUGUGAUGGACCUGGAAUGCGACACCAGUUAC
This is a non-coding RNA of Danio rerio (zebrafish), 185 nucleotides long. NCBI's taxonomy places the organism in Eukaryota, Metazoa, Chordata, Actinopteri, Cypriniformes, Danionidae. The record is from RefSeq and is a predicted model, not a curated record.